RNAcentral lists this unclassified non-coding RNA (329 nucleotides) under plant metagenome. Its description in RNAcentral is "partial contains 5.8S ribosomal RNA, internal transcribed spacer 2, and large subunit ribosomal RNA". The stretch from base 1 to 105 matches the Rfam family "5.8S ribosomal RNA", at positions 50 to 154 of the family's 154-position model. The record is from RNAcentral.
GAAAUGCGAUAAGUAAUGUGAAUUGCAGAAUUCCGUGAAUCAUCGAAUCUUUGAACGCACAUUGCGCCCUCUGGUAUUCCGGGGGGCAUGCCUGUCCGAGCGUCAUUGCGAACCCCUCAAGCACGGCUUGUGUGAUGGGCCCUCCCACGUCUUGGUCGUCAAGACGGGCCCGAAAUGCAGUGGCGGCUUCGCGGUUAUCCGAUCAGCCAGAGCGUAUGGGGACUUUCUCUCUGUCACACGCCCGCGGCGCGGACCGACGCCUGUCGACCUUCAUUCAUCGUUUUCUCGGUUGACCUCGGAUCAGGUAGGGAUACCCGCUGAACUUAAGC